UCAAAUUCAAUAUAAUUGAUGAUAAGGUUUUUUUUAUGGAUGCCAUAUCUCAGGAGCUUUCACUUACCCCUUUAAUGGCUUCACUCUUCUUUGGAUUGAAGGGAGCUCUUCAUCUCUCCAUCCCUAUCUCUCUCUCUCUCUAUC
RNAcentral lists this small RNA (144 nucleotides) under Arabidopsis thaliana (thale cress). RNAcentral's name for it is "ATSL012270". The record is from RNAcentral. Lineage: Eukaryota; Viridiplantae; Streptophyta; Magnoliopsida; Brassicales; Brassicaceae.